Molecule: ribosomal RNA, 278 nt
Filed under: uncultured Prevotella sp.
Lineage: Bacteria; Pseudomonadati; Bacteroidota; Bacteroidia; Bacteroidales; Prevotellaceae
Description: partial 16S ribosomal RNA
Rfam family: Bacterial small subunit ribosomal RNA
Source: RNAcentral
GCAGCCGCGGUAAUACGGAAGGUCCGGGCGUUAUCCGGAUUUAUUGGGUUUAAAGGGAGCGUAGGCCGUCUUAUAAGCGUGUUGUGAAAUGUCGGGGCUCAACCUGGGCAUUGCAGCGCGAACUGUGAGACUUGAGUGCGCAGGAAGUAGGCGGAAUUCGUCGUGUAGCGGUGAAAUGCUUAGAUAUGACGAAGAACUCCGAUUGCGAAGGCAGCCUGCUGUAGCGCAACUGACGCUGAAGCUCGAAAGCGUGGGUAUCGAACAGGAUUAGAUACCCC